RNAcentral lists this non-coding RNA (21 nucleotides) under Caenorhabditis elegans. Lineage: Eukaryota; Metazoa; Nematoda; Chromadorea; Rhabditida; Rhabditidae. The record is from RNAcentral.
UACCUCUCUGAUGUUUUCAUU